This 433-nucleotide ribosomal RNA is filed under the name uncultured bacterium. Its description in RNAcentral is "partial 16S ribosomal RNA". It matches the Rfam family "Bacterial small subunit ribosomal RNA", at positions 29 to 507 of the family's 1533-position model. The record is from RNAcentral.
AGCGAACGCUGGCGGCAGGCCUAACACAUGCAAGUCGAACGAACUCUUCGGAGUUAGUGGCGGACGGGUGAGUAACACGUGGGAACGUGCCUUUAGGUUCGGAAUAACUCAGGGAAACUUGUGCUAAUACCGAAUGUGCCCUUCGGGGGAAAGAUUUAUCGCCUUUAGAGCGGCCCGCGUCUGAUUAGCUAGUUGGUGAGGUAAAGGCUCACCAAGGCGACGAUCAGUAGCUGGUCUGAGAGGAUGAUCAGCCACAUUGGGACUGAGACACGGCCCAAACUCCUACGGGAGGCAGCAGUGGGGAAUCUUGCGCAAUGGGCGAAAGCCUGACGCAGCCAUGCCGCGUGAAUGAUGAAGGUCUUAGGAUUGUAAAAUUCUUUCACCGGGGACGGUAAUGACGGUACCCGGAGAAGAAGCCCCGGCUAACUUCGUG